AUCCUACUGACGAGUCCCUAAUAGAACGAGAUGCGCGUCUUAGAU
Molecule: non-coding RNA, 45 nt
Filed under: Trichobilharzia regenti
Lineage: Eukaryota; Metazoa; Platyhelminthes; Trematoda; Strigeidida; Schistosomatidae
Source: RNAcentral